UAGUGGUGAUAGCGGAGAGGAAACACCCGUUCCCAUCCCGAACACGGAAGUUAAGCUCUCCAGCGCCGAUGGUAGUUGGGGCCAGCGCCCCUGCAAGAGUAGGUCGCUGCUAGGCA
Molecule: ribosomal RNA, 116 nt
Filed under: Geobacillus sp. PA-3
Lineage: Bacteria; Bacillati; Bacillota; Bacilli; Caryophanales; Anoxybacillaceae
Source: RNAcentral